CGUCAAGUCAUCAUGGCCCUUACGGCCUGGGCUACACACGUGCUACAAUGGUCGGUACAAAGGGUUGCCAAGCCGCGAGGUGGAGCUAAUCCCAUAAAACCGAUCGUAGUCCGGAAUCGCAGUCUGCAACUCGACUGCGUGAAGUCGGAAUCGCUAGUAAUCGUGAAUCAGAAUGUCACGGUGAAUACGUUCCCGGGCCUU
Molecule: ribosomal RNA, 201 nt
Filed under: uncultured Pseudomonas sp.
Lineage: Bacteria; Pseudomonadati; Pseudomonadota; Gammaproteobacteria; Pseudomonadales; Pseudomonadaceae
Description: partial 16S ribosomal RNA
Rfam family: Bacterial small subunit ribosomal RNA
Source: RNAcentral